RNAcentral lists this long non-coding RNA (382 nucleotides) under Pan troglodytes (chimpanzee). RNAcentral describes it as "lincRNA". Lineage: Eukaryota; Metazoa; Chordata; Mammalia; Primates; Hominidae. The record is from RNAcentral.
AGAGCAUCAAAGCAUUAUCACCGACCCAACACACACCGGCGCUGCGUAGUUUCUGCCACACAGCUGUCUGACACCGGGUGUACGGCGUCACCCCUCACUUCCUGGACAAGGCAACAUUUUCCUAAAGGCACCUGGAGACAUUGAGUACUGCCAAUGGACUGCUGAACCAAACGAAGAGCUUUUCUGCAACAUUCAUGUUGCAGAGGAGAUGGGAACUGCCACUCAGCUGCUGCCACUCAGCUACUAAAUCUGAAAUAGUUAUUCAGCAAUACAAAAAUGGUAUUGCGGGGUUCUGGGGCAGCCCCUUUGGCUCAAAUGCCAGAGCUUUCUGCUAUACCUACUGAGUUUCAGUAGAUUUUAUUGAAUAAAAGUUUCUCAAUUC